Myodes glareolus (Bank vole) is the source of this 1006-nucleotide long non-coding RNA. RefSeq lists it as uncharacterized. NCBI's taxonomy places the organism in Eukaryota, Metazoa, Chordata, Mammalia, Rodentia, Cricetidae. The record is from RefSeq and is a predicted model, not a curated record.
AUCAAAAGGCCAAGACAGUCUCUUUACUUGACCAAUAACAACAACACAUAGAAAAAAGACCCUCCUACACCAGGCUUGGGCUGCUCAGGGAUUCCUGUGAGAACCCUCCUGUGUUCAGCCUAAGGAUGCCCAUUGUGACAUACAUGACCCAUUUCUGCCCCAGGAGAAGGUCCAGAACCAGUCCAGUAGCCAUGAAACUGGAGGAGGGCUAGAGAUAGAAGCUAUACUGGGUCCUAACGCCUGCAGUUUCAACUGGAUUUCCAAGCCUGCUUCCCCUGGAUAGGAUGGUCUUUCUAUUUUGGGGGCUCCUUUGUGUUAUGCCUAUGGUCUGCCUUUGUUUAUGUCCUGCUUGUAUUUCUAGUUUCUAGUUCUGAAGACAUGAUCAAACUAAGGAAGAAACAAGCCGAUAUCAACAUUUUCUGAGUGACCUUAGAUGGCAGGGUUUUCAUAGUUUCCUCUUUGAUGGCAUCUAAGUUACAGAUAUUUCUCCAGGAGCACAUGACAGCAAUGGAAUGACCAGCAGAGCAAUCAAGUUCAAACUUAGUUCCUGCUAAGUGGACCCAAGGACAAACCUCUUCGACAGACCCGGGACUACCUCCUCCAAACAACAGGCGUCCUCAGCUCAGAACAACAAAGAAAGAGACAACACCCCUACUCCUUUUUUGUUUCCAGGAUCUGAAAUGCUAGAAUGCCCCAGCCACGGCUCAACAGAAGUCCUGCUGAGGUGUUUGCUGUCAUUGUCCAACGCUGUCAGUCAACAACCUAACAACCCUGGCAGGGGGAAAGAGUUACAGAGUUCCCAACACUACCCUGUUGGGAAAAGCAAGCCUAGGAGGAGGUCAUUGCAAUCUGCAAGUAGCCUCCACCAAUGUACCAUCUUCCUAGUACCUAAGCCCCUGGCCCACUGCUCUUAAGAGCCUAACAAACUCACUCCCUUCAUUGACCCCCUCCAUUCUUGUAGGAGAGAGGCUGCCGGUGUGUGCUAAUAAACAGUCUCAUUUGUGGA